RNAcentral lists this ribosomal RNA (382 nucleotides) under uncultured eukaryote. RNAcentral describes it as "partial 18S ribosomal RNA". It matches the Rfam family "Eukaryotic small subunit ribosomal RNA", at positions 592 to 976 of the family's 1831-position model. The record is from RNAcentral.
UGUAAGCGUAUACCAAAGUUGUUGCAGUUAAAACGCUCGUAGUCGGAAUUUGGCAGUUCCGGAUGUGUGCACGUCGUGUGCGCACUUCGCGGGGAUUGCUUUUGUGGUCUUGCGUAGGAUGAGGCACUUUUAUUAGUGAACGUCCUCACGCAACCACUUUUUACUGUGAGAAAAUCAGAGUGCUCAAAGCAGGCAUUUGCCGUGAAUGUAUUAGCAUGGAAUAAUAGAAUAGGACUUGGUUCUAUUUUGUUGGUUUGUUGGGACUGAGUAAUGAUUAUGAGGGACAGUUGGGGGCAUUUGUAUUUCGGUGCUAGAGGUGAAAUUCUUAGAUUACCGAAAGACAAACUGCUGCGAAAGCGUCUGCCAAGGAUGUUUUCAUUGA